Molecule: small RNA, 27 nt
Filed under: Bombyx mori (domestic silkworm)
Lineage: Eukaryota; Metazoa; Arthropoda; Insecta; Lepidoptera; Bombycidae
Description: ovarian small RNA-8813
Source: RNAcentral
UGGGUUCGUUGGGGUCGACCACGCAGU